GAUGAACCUGCGGAAGGAUCAUUUA
RNAcentral lists this ribosomal RNA (25 nucleotides) under Laccaria angustilamella. RNAcentral describes it as "partial 18S ribosomal RNA". The record is from RNAcentral. Lineage: Eukaryota; Fungi; Basidiomycota; Agaricomycetes; Agaricales; Hydnangiaceae.